This 441-nucleotide ribosomal RNA is filed under the name uncultured bacterium. RNAcentral's name for it is "SSU rRNA". It matches the Rfam family "Bacterial small subunit ribosomal RNA", at positions 26 to 518 of the family's 1533-position model. The record is from RNAcentral.
AGAGCGAACGCUGGCGGCAGGCCUAACACAUGCAAGUCGAGCGCCCCGCAAGGGGAGCGGCAGACGGGAGAGUAACACGUGGGAAUGUACCCUUUGGUUCGGAACAACACAGGGAAACUUGUGCUAAUACCGGAUAAGCCCUUACGGGGAAAGAUUUAUUGCCAAAGGAUCGGCCCGCGUCUGAUUAGCUUGUUGGUGAGGUAACGGCUCACCAAGGCUACGAUCAGUAGCUGGUCUGAGAGGAUGAUCAGCCUCACUGGGACUGAGACACGGCCCAGACUCCUACGGGAGGCAGCAGUGGGGAAUAUGGACAAUGGCGCAAGCCUGAUCCAGCCAUGCCGCGUGGAUGAUGAAGGCCCUAGGGUUGUAAAGUCCUUUCGACGGGGAAGAUAAUGACGGUACCCGUAGAAGAAGCCCGGCUAACUUCGUGCCAGCAGCCGC